RNAcentral lists this ribosomal RNA (691 nucleotides) under [Clostridium] innocuum. Its description in RNAcentral is "bacterial SSU rRNA". It matches the Rfam family "Bacterial small subunit ribosomal RNA", at positions 62 to 733 of the family's 1533-position model. The record is from RNAcentral. Lineage: Bacteria; Bacillati; Bacillota; Clostridia; Eubacteriales; Clostridiaceae.
UCGACGAAGUUUCGAGGAAGCUUGCUUCCAAAGAGACUUAGUGGCGAACGGGUGAGUAACACGUAGGUAACCUGCCCAUGUGUCCGGGAUAACUGCUGGAAACGGUAGCUAAAACCGGAUAGGUAUACAGAGCGCAUGCUCAGUAUAUUAAAGCGCCCAUCAAGGCGUGAACAUGGAUGGACCUGCGGCGCAUUAGCUAGUUGGUGAGGUAACGGCCCACCAAGGCGAUGAUGCGUAGCCGGCCUGAGAGGGUAAACGGCCACAUUGGGACUGAGACACGGCCCAAACUCCUACGGGAGGCAGCAGUAGGGAAUUUUCGUCAAUGGGGGAAACCCUGAACGAGCAAUGCCGCGUGAGUGAAGAAGGUCUUCGGAUCGUAAAGCUCUGUUGUAAGUGAAGAACGGCUCAUAGAGGAAAUGCUAUGGGAGUGACGGUAGCUUACCAGAAAGCCACGGCUAACUACGUGCCAGCAGCCGCGGUAAUACGUAGGUGGCAAGCGUUAUCCGGAAUCAUUGGGCGUAAAGGGUGCGUAGGUGGCGUACUAAGUCUGUAGUAAAAGGCAAUGGCUCAACCAUUGUAAGCUAUGGAAACUGGUAUGCUGGAGUGCAGAAGAGGGCGAUGGAAUUCCAUGUGUAGCGGUAAAAUGCGUAGAUAUAUGGAGGAACACCAGUGGCGAAGGCGGUCGCCUGGU